UUUUUUUUUUAAAUAUUCAGUGAUGGGUUAUUUGUUUUUAAGAGAUAAUUUGUUUCAUUGGCACCUUAAUUUCUUUGUUAACAUACUUUGCCCUAAAGAUACAUGAAAUAAAACCUUCUUUCAACAAAUUAUAUAUAUUUUUGGCUAGAAAAUUAUCAAAUAGCAAAGUGGAAAAAAUAUAAAGCUUAUAGGGUGUUUUUGGCAUUAACUUAGUGUCUGAGAAAACAAUAUGUUAUUUCCUUUUAGAAGUUGUAUGCUCCAGGCAGAUUCCGAAAAGCUGCGCCAGGCAUGGAUUAAGGCUGUUCAGACCAGUAUUGCUACUGCUUAUAGAGAGAAGGGUGAUGAAUCAGAGAAGCUGGAUAAGAAAUCAUCUCCAUCCACAGGAAGCCUAGAUUCUGGAAAUGAGUCCAAAGAGAAAUUAUUGAAAGGAGAAAGUGCGCUUCAGCGGGUCCAGUGUAUCCCUGGCAAUGCCAGCUGUUGUGACUGUGGCCUGGCAGAUCCACGGUGGGCCAGCAUCAACCUGGGCAUCACCUUGUGUAUCGAGUGCUCCGGAAUUCACCGGAGCCUUGGGGUUCAUUUUUCGAAAGUACGAUCUUUAACUUUAGACACCUGGGAGCCAGAACUUUUAAAGCUUAUGUGUGAGUUGGGGAAUGAUGUUAUAAAUCGAGUUUAUGAAGCUAAUGUGGAAA
This 689-nucleotide small RNA is filed under the name Pan troglodytes (chimpanzee). RNAcentral describes it as "retained intron". The record is from RNAcentral. Lineage: Eukaryota; Metazoa; Chordata; Mammalia; Primates; Hominidae.